GCUGGCGGCAUGCUUUACACAUGCAAGUCGGACGGCAGCGGGGUAGUGCUUGCACUACUGCCGGCGAGUGGCGAACGGGUGAGUAAUAUAUUGGAACGUACCGAGUAAUGGGGGAUAACCAAUCGAAAGAUUGGCUAAUACCGCAUACGCUCUGAGGAGGAAAGCAGGGGACCUUCGGGCCUUGCGUUAUUCGAGCGGCCAAUAUCUGAUUAGCUAGUUGGUGGGGUAAAGGCCUACCAAGGCGACGAUCAGUAGCGGGUCUGAGAGGAUGAUCCGCCACACUGGGACUGAGACACGGCCCAGACUCCUACGGGAGGCAGCAGUGGGGAAUUUUGGACAAUGGGCGCAAGCCUGAUCCAGCCAUGCCGCGUGUCUGAAGAAGGCCUUCGGGUUGUAAAGGACUUUUGUUAGGGAAGAAAAAGGAGCGGUUAAUACCCGUUUCUGCUGACGGUACCUAAAGAAUAAGCACCGGCUAACUACGUGCCAGCAGCCGCGGUAAUACGUAGGGUGCGAGCGUU
Molecule: ribosomal RNA, 518 nt
Filed under: Neisseria elongata
Lineage: Bacteria; Pseudomonadati; Pseudomonadota; Betaproteobacteria; Neisseriales; Neisseriaceae
Description: bacterial SSU rRNA
Rfam family: Bacterial small subunit ribosomal RNA
Source: RNAcentral